Molecule: ribosomal RNA, 800 nt
Filed under: Leuconostoc pseudomesenteroides
Lineage: Bacteria; Bacillati; Bacillota; Bacilli; Lactobacillales; Lactobacillaceae
Description: bacterial SSU rRNA
Rfam family: Bacterial small subunit ribosomal RNA
Source: RNAcentral
AGUCGACGCACAGCGAAAGGUGCUUGCACCUUUCAAGUGAGUGGCGAACGGGUGAGUAACACGUGGACAACCUGCCUCAAGGCUGGGGAUAACAUUUGGAAACAGAUGCUAAUACCGAAUGAAACUUAGUGUCGCAUGAUACGAAGUUAAAAGGCGCUUUGGCGUCACCUAGAGAUGGAUCCGCGGUGCAUUAGUUAGUUGGUGGGGUAAAGGCCUACCAAGACAAUGAUGCAUAGCCGAGUUGAGAGACUGAUCGGCCACAUUGGGACUGAGACACGGCCCAAACUCCUACGGGAGGCUGCAGUAGGGAAUCUUCCACAAUGGGCGAAAGCCUGAUGGAGCAACGCCGCGUGUGUGAUGAAGGCUUUCGGGUCGUAAAGCACUGUUGUAUGGGAAGAACAGCUAGAAUAGGGAAUGAUUUUAGUUUGACGGUACCAUACCAGAAAGGGACGGCUAAAUACGUGCCAGCAGCCGCGGUAAUACGUAUGUCCCGAGCGUUAUCCGGAUUUAUUGGGCGUAAAGCGAGCGCAGACGGUUGAUUAAGUCUGAUGUGAAAGCCCGGAGCUCAACUCCGGAAUGGCAUUGGAAACUGGUUAACUUGAGUGCAGUAGAGGUAAGUGGAACUCCAUGUGUAGCGGUGGAAUGCGUAGAUAUAUGGAAGAACACCAGUGGCGAAGGCGGCUUACUGGACUGUAACUGACGUUGAGGCUCGAAAGUGUGGGUAGCAAACAGGAUUAGAUACCCUGGUAGUCCACACCGUAAACGAUGAACACUAGGUGUUAGGAGGUUUCCGCCUCUUA